This 294-nucleotide ribosomal RNA is filed under the name uncultured Pseudomonas sp. RNAcentral describes it as "partial 16S ribosomal RNA". It matches the Rfam family "Bacterial small subunit ribosomal RNA", at positions 1089 to 1382 of the family's 1533-position model. The record is from RNAcentral. Lineage: Bacteria; Pseudomonadati; Pseudomonadota; Gammaproteobacteria; Pseudomonadales; Pseudomonadaceae.
GUAACGAGCGCAACCCUUGUCCUAGUUACCAGCACGUUAUGGUGGGCACUCUAAGGAGACUGCCGGUGACAAACCGGAGGGAAGGUGGGGAUGACGUCAAGUCAUCAUGGCCCUUACGGCCUGGGCUACACACGUGCUACAAUGGUCGGUACAAAGGGUUGCCAAGCCGCGAGGUGGAGCUAAUCCCAUAAAACCGAUCGUAGUCCGGAUCGCAGUCUGCAACUCGACUGCGUGAAGUCGGAAUCGCUAGUAAUCGUGAAUCAGAAUGUCACGGUGAAUACGUUCCCGGGCCUU